RNAcentral lists this ribosomal RNA (301 nucleotides) under uncultured bacterium. RNAcentral describes it as "partial 16S ribosomal RNA". It matches the Rfam family "Bacterial small subunit ribosomal RNA", at positions 509 to 807 of the family's 1533-position model. The record is from RNAcentral.
CAGCAGCCGCGGGAAUACGAAGGGGGCUAGCGUUGUUCGGAUUUACUGGGCGUAAAGCGCACGUAGGCGGAUCGAUCAGUCAGGGGUGAAAUCCCAGAGCUCAACUCUGGAACUGCCUUUGAUACUGUCGAUCUGGAGUAUGGAAGAGGUGAGUGGAAUUCCGAGUGUAGAGGUGAAAUUCGUAGAUAUUCGCAGGAACACCAGUGGCGAAGGCGGCUCACUGGCUCGAUACUGACGCUGAGGUGCGAAAGCGUGGGGAGCAAACAGGAUUAGAGACCCGCGUAGUCCAUGUCUCUUAUAC